CGUAAUUAUACGUUACGCACAUACAAGUGAAUCAAAAGUUCAACAAAUAUUCAAGGAGAAAUUUCGGGAUUAUG
This is a long non-coding RNA of Aricia agestis (brown argus), 74 nucleotides long. RefSeq lists it as uncharacterized. The record is from RefSeq and is a predicted model, not a curated record. Lineage: Eukaryota; Metazoa; Arthropoda; Insecta; Lepidoptera; Lycaenidae. The transcript has 3 exons.